Endozoicomonas montiporae is the source of this 173-nucleotide non-coding RNA. The record is from Rfam. NCBI's taxonomy places the organism in Bacteria, Pseudomonadati, Pseudomonadota, Gammaproteobacteria, Oceanospirillales, Endozoicomonadaceae.
UGUAUCGCGAGGUGCAGACUGAAGGCAGUGUGGAGCAAAACUGCGAGCUGACGAAUAGAAAUCGGAUAUGAGGCUGUCUGCGUGAGGACGAGUCAGCAUGUGAUGACGAAGUCCCAUACUCAUCCGGACACUCGGACAGUAAAUCCGGCAGUUGUGCAGGGAAGGCGGUGUAA